UACAGAGGUCUCAAGCGUUGUUCGGAUUCAUUGGGCGUAAAGGGUGCGUAGGUGGCGUCGUAAGUGGGGUGUGAAAUCCCGGGGCUCAACCUGGGAAUGGCAUUUGGGACUGCAAGGCUGGAGUGCGGCAGAGGAGACUGGAAUUCCUGGUGUAGCAGUGAAAUGCGUAGAUAUCAGGAGGAACACCGAUGGCGAAGGCAGGUCUCUGGGCUGACACUGACGCUCAUGCACGAAAGCGUGGGGAGCAAACAGG
Molecule: ribosomal RNA, 253 nt
Filed under: uncultured bacterium
Lineage: Bacteria
Description: partial 16S ribosomal RNA
Rfam family: Bacterial small subunit ribosomal RNA
Source: RNAcentral